UCUGGGUGGGUUAGCGGCCGCCUGUAACCCGAGCGGGAGUUGGAGGCUGUGGAGCAGGGCUCAUCUACUGGAACCGGUUGCGGCAUGUGGAUGGUGUGUCCACCCGAAGCGUGGGGUCGCCACAUGAGAUCUUCCCGGAAGGGAAAAUGUCGGUGGUGGUAGUGUAGAGGGCAACGCGUGAGGCGGGCAACCGAGCAACGACCACCUCUCGCCCUGUGCAGUCGGGGGAUUGCAUGCUUGAAUGUCCGCUCACCGGAUACCUCAGUAGAUACCAGCUCUGUCACCAGCCCC
RNAcentral lists this signal recognition particle RNA (291 nucleotides) under Marchantia polymorpha subsp. ruderalis. Its description in RNAcentral is "Plant signal recognition particle RNA". It matches the Rfam family "Plant signal recognition particle RNA". Lineage: Eukaryota; Viridiplantae; Streptophyta; Marchantiopsida; Marchantiales; Marchantiaceae. The record is from Rfam by way of RNAcentral.